Long non-coding RNA from Mauremys mutica (yellowpond turtle), 607 nucleotides. RefSeq lists it as uncharacterized. NCBI's taxonomy places the organism in Eukaryota, Metazoa, Chordata, Testudines, Geoemydidae. The record is from RefSeq and is a predicted model, not a curated record. The transcript has 4 exons.
AUUGUGAUGUCAUCUGAUGACUCGAAAGUCACUUAAACAGACUUUGAAAGACAAGGAUCCAGUUUGCUCUGUGAUAGGACCCCAGAAUCCACUUUGGCUGGUACACGGAACUCCUCAGUUUGGGGUGCAUGACAGGCAUCAGCCAGAAGAGAUAUGAGGGAUUUAAAAAAGAAAUUCCCAUGUAAAUGAAAAAGUCAGUGAGAGAUGGCCAACAAAGUGUGGAUAUCAUCUUAUUGCAAGAGCAGCUGAACUGACCAGGGAAAGGAUCAAACCAGUAACAACAACCAGUGCAGAACAAGUAUACAAGAUCAAGAUAAAGGAACUGAGCAAACAGAACAGAGACAGACUGACCAAGAAUACAGACAUCAUGGUGUACUGUGGAAAGGAACAUGAAAAGCAGAAAGAAAAAUGCCCAGCCUACCGGCAAUGGGCAAAGGUGUGUGGGAAACGGAACCAAUGCAGCAGGCUUUGCAGAAAAUGGCUGUCUUAAGCAGGGAACUGAAUGAGACUAGGGAGGACAUUCCAUGGAAGAAAACGUGAAGACCCUUUGGGAGAAGCAGACAAGCAGUAUAUUAUGACCUAGCAUUACUGGUGGAGCACAGCAACU